RNAcentral lists this non-coding RNA (28 nucleotides) under Bombyx mori (domestic silkworm). The record is from RNAcentral. Lineage: Eukaryota; Metazoa; Arthropoda; Insecta; Lepidoptera; Bombycidae.
UAACCUUCUUGUAGGACCUGGAAGCGGC